AUCUAAUACUAGAAUACCUUUCUUAAUUAACAAAAGCAAAUUAUACUCAUUUCUCCUAUAAUUAGCAUUUAUUACACUCAGUAUUCUUUUUUAUUUUUGUAUUACUUUGGUCUCGUGUUGAUUAACGAUUCUACUUUUACAUUAAAUGACAUAAUUAUCCUUCUCUUUUACAAAACCAAAAUAACACUCACUCUCUCCGUUCAACUUUCGAUUUCUUCCUUCCAUAGAAUCCCUAAUCUUCAUCCCUCUUUGUCUUUUCCACUUUCACCUUUCGCCAUGAAUCAGAUAUAGAUCUCAUCUUCUUUGCCACCAAAUUGUCCUCUGUUGUGCUCACUUGUUGUCGUUCUUUGUCGGAUCUACGGCCUACGCUGCCCCCAAAGGAAGAACCUCUAGGCAUCAACUGUUCUCUGUUUGUGCCGCCGCGGACUCGCCUGAUCUUGUGAUUAAUACCUUAGGCACUAAUCUUCUCAUCACAAGUUCAUUUGUCUCUAAAAAAAAAUGUUAUUCUUGUCUUUUAGAAUGCAAAAAGGUUUAGAUCAUUUGUCUCUAAAAAAAAUGUUAUUCUUGUCUUUUAGAAUGCAAAAAGGAUUAGAUGUAAAGUGUAGCACUGAUGUUUUUCUUAUGUAAUUUGUUUUGUUUGUAAAAAGAAAAACUAGAUCCCUUUUAUUGUUCUGUUUCUAGUAGUUACUGUGUUUCAAGAGCAAUGUUGAUUUUCUUUUUAAUUACUUGAGAAAUAAAUGGUUCAUUUGUUUUGAUUUUGUUCCGCC
Molecule: long non-coding RNA, 767 nt
Filed under: Glycine max (soybean)
Lineage: Eukaryota; Viridiplantae; Streptophyta; Magnoliopsida; Fabales; Fabaceae
Description: long non-coding RNA (GMAX_LNC002372)
Source: RNAcentral